Tachysurus vachellii is the source of this 772-nucleotide long non-coding RNA. RefSeq lists it as uncharacterized. NCBI's taxonomy places the organism in Eukaryota, Metazoa, Chordata, Actinopteri, Siluriformes, Bagridae. The transcript has 2 exons. The record is from RefSeq and is a predicted model, not a curated record.
AGUGUGAUGUAAGGCUCAGCACCACCCUCUUUAUUUGGUAUAAAUACGAGAGCACGAAGCUUCUGUCUCAUCCACAAACUUGCAUCCUUCACAAGACGUCUUUUAAAGAAGGCAUUUUUGCUACCUGCUUCUUCAGUUACUUGUUAAGAACAAGAUGACCAGUAUACGUGAAGUUGGUGGAACGGGAGGAAAACCUUUCAAUUUUAAUGGCAUUGAAACUGGAACCUUGUUGAAAAGGAUCCAGGUUUGGGAAGGUGAUUCUCAGAUAAAAGCCGUGAUGGUGUGGCUUACUGAUGACCGGUCAGGACAGUUUGGUGUUAUGGCUGGGAGUCAGCGGGAGUUUACAUUUGAAAAAGAUGAGAUAUUUACCUCCCUUUCACUUUGGCCAGAUGAAGAUGGUACACAUCUGGGUGCCAUCAAAUUCACGACAAAUGUUGGGAAUCAGUUCUAUGCAAGCAUGAAAAGUGGUACGCUGCAAGCAGAAGUAAAAGUUGAUGUUGCCACUGGGAAAUGCAUUGGAAUCCAAGGACGUUCUGGGGCUGCCAUUAAUUCCUUCGGCUUCAUCAUGGUCAAGAUGCUAUCUGCUUAGCUUACCAAUGUGGUGCAUCCCACCGUUUCUAUAGUAAUUCUGAGUAAUGAACAAAACAUCUCAUUUGGUGAUUUUUAGAUCUAGUUCGACUGUAGCUUUGUGUAACAAUUUGAUUAUUUUCUUUUGACAUUUUCAGAUUAUAAUCUGUUAUGAUUUACAUCAAUAAAACAGUCUCAAUUGAAA